This 468-nucleotide ribosomal RNA is filed under the name uncultured bacterium. RNAcentral describes it as "partial 16S ribosomal RNA". It matches the Rfam family "Bacterial small subunit ribosomal RNA", at positions 28 to 507 of the family's 1533-position model. The record is from RNAcentral.
GACGAACGCUGGCGGCGUGCUUAACACAUGCAAGUCGAACGGAAAGGAACUGCUUUUGUGGGGUGCUAGACUAACACACAAAUGAGUAACAAGUGAGUCACCUGCACUUGACUUUGGGAUAACUUCAGGAAACUGGGGCUAAUACCGGAUAGGAGCUCCUGCUGCAUGGUGGGCGUUGGAAAGUUUCGGCGGUUGGGGAUGGACUCGCUGCUUAUCAGCUUGUUGGUGGGGUAGUGGCUUACCAAGGCUUUGACGGGUAGCCGGCCUGAGAGGGUGACCGGCCACAUGGGGACUGAGAUACGGCCCAGACUGCUACGGGAGGCAGCAGUGGGGAAUAUUGCACAAUGGGCGGAAGCCUGAUGCAGCAACGCCGCGUGCGGGAUGACGGCCUUCGGGUUGUAAACCGCUUUCGCCUGUGACGAAGCGUGAGUGACGGUAAUGGGUAAAGAAGCACCGGCUAACUACGUG